GUAGGUGGCAAGCGUUGUCCGGAAUUAUUGGGCGUAAAGCGCGCGCAGGCGGUUCUUUAAGUCUGAUGUGAAAGCCCACGGGCUCAACCGUGGAGGGUCAUUGGAAACUGGAGAACUUGAGUACAGAAGAGGAAAGCGGAAUUCCACGUGUAGCGGUGAAAUGCGUAGAGAUGUGGAGGAACACCAGUGGCGAAGGCGGCUCUCUGGUCUGUAACUGACGCUGAGGCGCGAAAGCGUGGGGAGCAAACAGGAUUAGAUACCCUGGUAGUCCACGCCGUAAACAAUGAGUGCUAAGUGUUAGGGGGUUUCCGCCCCUUAGUGCUGCAGCUAACGCAUUAAGCACUCCGCCUGGGGAGUACGGCCGCAAGGCUG
Molecule: ribosomal RNA, 372 nt
Filed under: uncultured organism
Description: partial 16S ribosomal RNA
Rfam family: Bacterial small subunit ribosomal RNA
Source: RNAcentral